AUAACCAAACACCCGACCAAAUCUUACUGCAUUACUGCAUUGUGCUAUCAAAUGAAUGCAGAUAACUUUUUUUUUAAAUAAAUAAAAAGCUCGAUACUCACACACUUUUGUAUUUUCCUGCUCCUUCAGGAAGUGACUGUCAUCAAUACCUGUUAGCCCAAAGAUUACCACCCCAUUUACUAGUUUCAUGUAAUUAAUGUGCAUCGUUCCUUUCCAAUCCAGUUAAUUUUAGUCUUUUAAUGUCAACUGAUAUAAAACUGUGAAUUCAUAGAUUUUCUCGUCACUGCUGACACAUGUGCACAUCCUUCAUCAAAAGCAUAAUUGCAGUGUCAGUGGGUGUAGAGACACCACCUCAGUUUCCACAGUAAGGCACACAAGGGCUUGAAGACAAAAAUGUAAUGUGUCCCCUCCCCACCAGAUGGUGACGGUGACCUGUAUGAACAGUGCAGUAAUGCAUGUCAUGACCACUAGAGAGCAGUGCUAAUACACCAGUCCCUCAGAUGCUACUUGUGGGCUGCAGUGUUGAGAAGUGUGAUGUAUUCUCUCUGGCAGCACCUUGGACAGCGCCAAUCUGGUCCUUUUCCUGGUGGUAGAGAUGGGAGAAAAUGUGCUUUACCGCCGGAAGAAGAAUACAACUGCAGGCUUUCUCACAUCGCAGCAGAGCAUGGAGAAAAUUUCAAGUGCACGUCUAAGGAUGCGUCAGACAGGAGACAACCUCUUCAGUCUUGGCAGAAACAAAUGGAGUACAAUACCUGUGAUUCUUCAGAGCAGUUCUGCUGUGAACAGUACUGUACAAGGCAAACUUUGUCUACAGUUGGAAUCCGGACACAAGCCAUUUACUCAGUAACAUCAUUAACUAACCUGUGAUGAAGUGUUUGCCACAGACGUACACAUAUUGACGGUCCGGGUCCCACAGUUUACCCUUUUUAUCCUCCCUGUUUAUGGCCUGAAGCCACAGAUCUCUUUCACUGUCCUUUGUUCUUUGGGGAAGUAAAGAAAAUCGUAAAGUGUUAUUUUUAUUUUAUUGUUUUAUGUGCAAUAUGCGACCCAGCAGCUUUUAGGCAUGGUGCCACUAGGCACUUUUACAGUGGGGGCGUGGUCGUUCUGAAGACAAGACGGUGAUGCAUGUCUGCUCUCAUCUAAAGAGGCAGCUCUCUAAGCUGUGGCGUCCACUGGUUCCUUUUUACUUGCUGAAAAAAAGUUGCUUUUGGGGCCAGUUGUCUGGUCUUGCACACAAGGUGAGACUGAGGUGGGUCCUCAGAAUCUGUGCCAUUUAUUUUGACAGAGCAAUGACUAAUGGUGUAACUUCAUCACUUAGUCAGUUUGGUUCUGUUGACUGUUGGUCAGACAAAACAAUACAUUAUUCUGCACAACUUUAUUCAGGGUAGGCUGCAAGAUGUGGUGAAAAGCUAGCGAAUGAUCCUUGAUUUAAGAUUUUGUCAAACUACUAUUCCCAAGAUCAAGAGUGAACAUUCACUCUCAAAUGGCAAAUGAUGUAUUCUUUGUGAUGUCAUAUUAAUGAAUAUUAAUAAACGAUUUUGUCAGUCAAAAA
Molecule: long non-coding RNA, 1552 nt
Organism: Dicentrarchus labrax (European seabass)
Lineage: Eukaryota; Metazoa; Chordata; Actinopteri; Moronidae
Source: Ensembl